GACGAACGCUGGCGGCGUGCUUAACACAUGCAAGUCGAACGGAAAGGCCCUGCUUUUGUGGGGUGCUCGAGUGGCGAACGGGUGAGUAACACGUGAGUAACCUGCCCUUGACUUUGGGAUAACAUCAGGAAACUGGGGCUAAUACCGGAUAGGAGCUCCUGCUGCAUGGUGGGGGUUGGAAAGUUUCGGCGGUUGGGGAUGGACUCGCGGCUUAUCAGCUUGUUGGUGGGGUAGUGGCUUACCAAGGCUUUGACGGGUAGCCGGCCUGAGAGGGUGACCGGCCACAUUUGGACUGAGAUACGGCCCAGACUCCUACGGGAGGCAGCAGUGGGGAAUAUUGCACAAUGGGCGGAAGCCUGAUGCAGCAACGCCGCGUGCGGGAUGACGGCCUUCGGGUUGUAAACCGCUUUCGCCUGUGACGAAGCGUGAGUGACGGUAAUGGGUAAAGAAGCACCGGCUAACUACGUG
This 468-nucleotide ribosomal RNA is filed under the name uncultured bacterium. Its description in RNAcentral is "partial 16S ribosomal RNA". It matches the Rfam family "Bacterial small subunit ribosomal RNA", at positions 28 to 507 of the family's 1533-position model. The record is from RNAcentral.